Long non-coding RNA from Culex pipiens pallens (northern house mosquito), 1218 nucleotides. RefSeq lists it as uncharacterized. The transcript is spliced from 3 exons. Lineage: Eukaryota; Metazoa; Arthropoda; Insecta; Diptera; Culicidae. The record is from RefSeq and is a predicted model, not a curated record.
GACAGAUCACAGCAAGCAGUGAAUAUUCUGUGUUGUCAUUUAUUUUCUUUUUUUUCGGUGAUGCGGGUUUCUUGACCAUCAUGGCCACUCUUUCCGGUGAACCAUGAGGGCCAGAUUUUUGGCUAUUUUCUCCUUCGGUUAUGGGCAGGAUGGGAUUUACAUUAACAGCCGGUUUGAGUUGAUGUACUGACUUCGGAGGCUCAACCAACUGGGCAGCAGGAAUCGCGUUGAAGCUGGAUUCGGAACCGUGCGCAUUUACGUAUCGGCAAAACGUUCUACCUGAACGUUGGACUGGGGGUGGAACGGGGCAGUGAUAACGAGGUCGAUACUUUUUUUUUAUCUGAGUUCCGUUAUCCGAUACCAGCUUCUCCGGCAUCCCCAGAGGGGCGUCCACCGGUUCCUUGACAGCAGCGAUACAGUUGGACUUGUUCGCUCGUAAUCAGCUAAGGUCAGUACCCAUAACUGCGGGCCACAACUUUCAUUCCGUUGAUUUCAGAGUGGCCUUGGUGGAAUUGUUUGAGACAUCGCUUGCGCAGGUCAGAAGGAACCACGAGGCGUUCGCAGAACAGGAUGCACCGUUGCAGAGUCACGAGUGAGUCGCUUUGAUUGUGGAACCGCUCGAGCUCACGGUCCUGCAGCGCUUUUGGUCAGCCUUCUUGGACGUAUCGGUAGCCCGGAUCCAUGAGGCUGCUAUCUCGUAUCGUAUUGGAGCUGAGGUGCAAAACGUCGAACGACUCGACCGCUGCUGAUUUGACGUCAUCCUCGAGUGUGUCCACGUACUAAUGUUUGAUUCACUUCCGGAAGUACGUGUUUUGGUAUAUUUCCAGCGAUUUUGAUGAUCUUGGCCGCGCGAAAACUUGCUUUUGAAGAUGAAACUUAAGACUGAUGUGGAACAGGUCCCCGAUGGAGCAAAAGGAAGUUGUUGAGAAGCUGACCAAACCUCGAAGUUUUUUUUUACGCAUCUACCUCGAUGUGUGCAUAUUUCCGCUGAGCACCUGCACCUGCUACAUGCCAAACCAAGGCUCAAGAUCGACGGCUUUCUGGAAGGUCGCCUGAAGAUCCGUGUGUAAGCUGGAAUUGGUCAAAUUCUACCAUUACACCCGCGUAGACACAUCUGAAUCUACAAGUAGUUCAUAAAAUGUAAUAUUCGCGCCUUCGGGGUUGGCCGACCGGAUCGCGUUACGGGCGUCGUUGAAGCCGAUUAAACAUCCCCUACCC